This 492-nucleotide ribosomal RNA is filed under the name uncultured bacterium. RNAcentral's name for it is "partial 16S ribosomal RNA". It matches the Rfam family "Bacterial small subunit ribosomal RNA", at positions 29 to 507 of the family's 1533-position model. The record is from RNAcentral.
AGUGAACGCUGGCGGUAGGCCUAACACAUGCAAGUCGAACGGCAGCACAGUAAGAGCUUGCUCUUACGGGUGGCGAGUGGCGGACGGGUGAGGAAUACAUCGGAAUCUACUUUUUCGUGGGGGAUAACGUAGGGAAACUUACGCUAAUACCGCAUACGACCUACGGGUGAAAGCAGGGGAUCUUCGGACCUUGCGCGAUUGAAUGAGCCGAUGUCGGAUUAGCUAGUUGGCGGGGUAAAUGCCCACCAAGGCGACGAUCCGUAGCUGGUCUGAGAGGAUGAUCAGCCACACUGGAACUGAGACACGGUCCAGACUACUGCGGGAGGCAGCAGUGGGGAAUAUUGGACAAUGGGCGCAAGCCUGAUACAGCCAUACCGCGUGGGUGAAGAAGGCGUUCGGGUUGUAAAGCCCUUUUGUUGGGAAAGAAAAGCAGCAGGUUAAUACCCCGCUGUUCUGACGGUACCCAAAGAAUAAGCACCGGCUAACUUCGUG